This is a ribosomal RNA of 3086 nucleotides. It matches the Rfam family "Eukaryotic large subunit ribosomal RNA", at positions 435 to 3388 of the family's 3401-position model.
CAAUCUUCCUGGCCUUAAGCUAAUUGUAUUCCCCUUCUGGAAAGCGGUCCUUAGUUAGCACAACAUAAACAAAAUCACCCACUUCGAACUCCACCAAAUGACGCUUCCUGUCAGCUGACUCCUUAUACUUGGAGGUAGAGACCUCCAACUGUUUCUGAGUAGCCUCAUGAACUUCCUUCAAAUGCACCAUAAAGUCUCGGGGUGUGGACCGGUGCAGAUUGGGGCAGAGGCCAAAGCCUGGGCGGUCGUAAAGCCCACGGAGACGCCUUCGCCUCGAUCGUGGCUAGCAGCGCGUGCCUGCAAGGGCGUGCUUUGGCAUCUGCGCACUCCCAGCACCGGCCAGCGUGCUCCCCAUCUGGUCCGUCUUGGAACACGGAUCAAGGAGUCUGACAUGUGUGCGAGUCAACGGGCGAGUAAACCCGUAUGGUGCAAGGAACCUAAUUGGUGUGGGAUCCCCCAGCGGGUUGCGUCGUCGACCGACCUUGAUCUUCUGAGAAGGGUUCGAGUGCGAGCAUACCUGUCGAGACCCAAAAGAUGGGGAACUAUGCCUGAGCAGGGUAAAGCCAGAGGAAACUCUGGUGGAGGCCCGCAGCGAUACUAACGUGCAAAUCAUUCGUCUGACUUGGGUAUAGGGGCGAAAGACUAAUCGAACCGUCUAGUAGCUGGUUCCCUCUGACGUUUCCCUCAGGAUAGCUGGAGCCCAGGUGCGAGUUCUAUCGGGUAAAGCCAAUGAUUAGAGGCAUUUGGGGCACAACGCCCUCGACCUAUUCUCAAACUUUAAAUAGGUAGGACAGCGCGACGGCUCCGAUGAGCCAUGCCACUGAAUCGAGAGCUCCAAGUGGGCCAUUUUUGGCAAGCAGAACUAGCGAUACGGGAUGAAUCGGAAGUCGAGUUACGGUGCCCAACUGCACAAUAACCUAGAACCCACAAAGGGUGUUGGUCGAUUAAGACAGCAGGAUGGUGGUCAUGGAAGUCGAAAUAUGCUAAGGACUGUGUAACAACUCACCUGUCGAAUCAACUAGCCUUGAAAAUGGAUGGUGCUGAAGCGCGCGACCUAUACCCGACCGUCGGAGCAAGUGCCAGGCCCCGAUGAGUAGGAUGGUGCAGAGGUCAUUGCAAACCUUGGGCGCGAGCCUGGGCACGAGCGGCCGUUGGUGUGAAUCUUGGUGGUAGUAGUAAAUAUUCAAAUGAGAACUUUGAAGGCCAAAGAGGGGAAAGGUUCCAUGGGAAUGGCACUUGCAGAUGGGUUAGUCGAUCCUACGAGUCGGGGAAAGCCCGACAGAGAGCGCGUCCAGUGCGAGCGUCGAAAGGGAAUCGGGUUAAAACUCCAGAAUCGAGACGUGGCGGCUGACAGCAAUGUUAGGGAGUUCAGAGACGUCGGCAGGGCUCCGAAAGAGUUAUCUUUUCUGUUUAACAGCCUGCCCACCCUAGAAACGGCUCAGCCGGAGGUAGGGUCCAGCGGCUGGAAGAGCACCGCACGUUGCGUGGUGUCCGGUGCGCCCCCGACGGCCCUUGAAAAUCCAGAGGACCGAGUGCUUCCCACGCCCGGUCGUACUCAUAACCGCAUUAGGUCUCCAAGGUGAACAACCUCUGGCCGAUGGAACAAUGUAGGCAAGGGAAGUCGGCAAAAUGGAUCUGUAACUUCGGGAAAAGGAUUGGCUCUGAGGGCUGGGCACGGGGGUCCCAACCCCGAACCCGUCGGCUGUCGGUGGACUGCUCGAGCUGCUCUCGCGGUGAGAGCGGGUCGCUGCGUGCCGGUCGAGGGAUGAACUGGGAACAGCUCCUCUCUGGGGCCUUCCCCGGGUGUCGAGCAGCCGACUCAGAACUGGUACGAACAAGGGGAAUCCGACUGUUUAAUUAAAACAAAGCAUUUCAAUGGUCCACGCGAAUGCUCACACAAUGUGAUUUCUGCCCAGUGCUCUGAAUGUCAAAGUGAAGAAAAUCAGCCAAGCGCGGGUAAACGACGGGAGUAACUAUGACUCUCUUAAGGUAGCCAAAUGCCUCAUCAUCUAAUUAGUGACUCGCAUGAAUGGAUUAACGAGAUCCCCACUAUCCCUGUCUACUAUCAGUGAAACCACAGCCAAGGGAAAGGGCUUGGCAGAAUCAACGGGGAAAGAAGACCUGUUGAGCUUGACUCUAGUCUGACUUUGUGAAAUCACUUGAGAGACAUAGGAUAAGUGAGAGCCGGAGACGGCGAAAGUGAAAUACCACUACUUUUAACGUUAUUUUACUUAUUCCAUGAAUCGGAGGCGGGGCACUGCCCUUCUUUUUGGACCCAAGGCUCGCCUCGGCGGGCCAAUCCAGGCGGACGACAUUGUCAGUGGGGAGUUUGGCUGGCGUGGCACAUCUGUUAAAAGAUAACGCAGGUGUCCUAAGAUAAGCUCAACGAGAACAGAAAUCUCGUGUGGAACAGAAGGGUAAAAGCUCGUUUGAUUCUGAUUUUUAGUACGAAUACGAACUGUGAAAGCAUGGCCUAACGAUCCUUUGGACCUUCGGAAUUUGAAGCUAGAGGUGCCAGAAAAGUUACCACAGGGAUAACUAGCUUGUGGCAGCCAAACGUUCAUAGCGAUGUUACUUUUUGAUCCUUCGAUGUCGGCUCUUUCUAUCAUUGUGAAGUAGAAUUCACCAAGUGUUGGAUUGUUCACCCACCAAUAAGGAACGUGAGCUGGGUUUAGACCGUCGUAAGACAAGUUAGUUUUUCCCUACCGAUGACAGUGUUGCAAUAGUAAUUCAACCUAGUACGAGAAGAACCGUUGAUUUGCACAAUUGGUCAUCACGCUUGGUACUAGUGGCGCGAAGCUACCAUGCGCUGGAUUAUGAUUGAACGUCUCUAAGUCAGAAUCCAGGCUAGAAGCGAUGUAUGUGCCCGCCGUUCAUUUGUCGACCAGCAGUAGGUGCCAUUCGGCCCCCAAAGGCAAGUGUCAUAGGCGAAACUCGCGCGGCGAACGAGCAUCGCGGCCGCCUUGAAGUUCAAUUUCUACCGAGCAGCAAGUAGAAUCCUUUACAGACGACUUAAAUACGCGACAGGGUAUUGUAAGUGGCAAAGUGGCCUUGCUGCCACAAUCCACUGAGAUUUAGCCCUUCGU